Aethalodelphis obliquidens (Pacific white-sided dolphin) is the source of this 979-nucleotide long non-coding RNA. RefSeq lists it as uncharacterized. The transcript is spliced from 3 exons. Lineage: Eukaryota; Metazoa; Chordata; Mammalia; Artiodactyla; Delphinidae. The record is from RefSeq and is a predicted model, not a curated record.
CAGAUAUGCCAGUGACUGUUAAGGAGAACAGGUCUGGUUUACAGUAUGGGCACAUAAGAGGCAGGAAGUGACUCCAAGAAAAGCUUCUGUUUAUAGCAUAAUCGGAGCUUCGUCAGGGGAUGAAAAAGGGCCAGAAGACCCAAAGCCUACAGUAAGACAAAGAUGUAAUCUAUGCAGCCUGAUGACCAGGACACAGACAUCUCAGCACACUUCAGCUGGGAGAGAUGCCCAUGACCAUGGACCAGGAGCCACUCCUGAUGCCAGGUUGCAUCCUAGGACCUCAGAAAUGAGGCACACUCUGGAGAGACCUAAAUAGGUGGAAGGAAUCAUGAACUGCUUCAUUUUUAACCUAAAAAUGAUGGAGUUUUCUCAGAAAUAACUAAGAUUCUGUUUUCUGCCAUUUGGGGGAAAUGGGGUUUAACAAAGAGGUUGAGUAAUAGAAAAAUAGUUACCUUUUCUUUGCACACCUGAGUUCAUACCUGCUACACUAGUCACCCAUGUGAGAUGCAGUGUUAGGUGUUUCUCGGGAAUCUGUAAAGUGCUCUACGUGGGGGCUGAGGCCAACUUCAGGGGCACAAAACAUCACUAUGUUUUGUGAUAUGACACAUGACAUCACCCUGACCAAGUUUUUGUUUUCACUACAGUUUUUUUUUUUUUUUUCCUGCUCACAACUGUCACCAAGAAAAAGCCUGCUAGAAAGGCAGAUGGCAGAACUUUCGAAUACAAAAAGAGUAGUUCCCUGGGCAGUUGCAACAGAAUUGGAGAUGCUGGUGGAGGAGAUGAGGCACGAGGAUGUGAAGGUCUCAACAGUGAUGCAGGAGAUAGCAGCACAGAAGAUGUAGAAUCAGUUUAAGAAGAGAGAAGACAUUGACGUCCUGGGCCCAGAGAUCAGUAUCCAUUGAUCAGGUUUAUAACAAAGCUCAGGAAAUGCUAAAGCUUAAAGGAGAAUUGAGAGGUACCCAGCAAAUGAAAGAUGAGG